GUGGGGAAUAUUGGACAAUGGGCGCAAGCCUGAUCCAGCCAUGCCGCGUGAGUGAUGAAGGCCUUAGGGUUGUAAAGCUCUUUCAGUGGGGACGAUAAUGACGGUACCCACAGAAGAAGCCCCGGCUAACUUCGUGCCAGCAGCCGCGGUAAUACGAAGGGGGCUAGCGUUGUUCGGAUUUACUGGGCGUAAAGCGCACGUAGGCGGAUCGUUAAGUCGGGGGUGAAAUCCUGGAGCUCAACUCCAGAACUGCCUUCGAUACUGGCGAUCUUGAGUCCGGAAGAAGUGAGUGGAACUCCUAGUGUAGAGGUGGAAUUCGUAGAUAUUAGGAAGAACACCAGUGGCGAAGGCGGCUCACUGGUCCGGUACUGACGCUGAGGUGCGAAAGCGUGGGGAGCAAACAGGAUUAGAAACCCGGGUAGUCC
Molecule: ribosomal RNA, 425 nt
Filed under: uncultured bacterium
Lineage: Bacteria
Description: partial 16S ribosomal RNA
Rfam family: Bacterial small subunit ribosomal RNA
Source: RNAcentral